AUACGUAGGGGGCGAGCGUUGUCCGGAAUGAUUGGGCGUAAAGGGCGCGUAGGCGGCCUGUUAAGUCUGGAGUGAAAGUCCUGUUUUCAAGAUGGGAAUUGCUUUGGAUACUGAUGGGCUUGAGUGCAGGAGAGGUUAUCGGAAUUCCCGGUGUAGCGGUGAAAUGCGUAGAGAUCGGGAGGAACACCAGUGGCGAAGGCGGGUAACUGGACUGCAACUGACGCUGAGGCACGAAAGUGUGGGGAGCAAACAGGAUUAGAUACCCUGGUAGUCCACACUGUAAACGAUGAAUGCUAGGUGUAAGAGGUAUCGACCCCUUUUGUGCCGGAGUUAACACAAUAAGCAUUCCGCCUGGGGAGUACGGCCGCAAGGUUGAAACUCAAAUGAAUUGACGGGG
This 397-nucleotide ribosomal RNA is filed under the name uncultured bacterium. RNAcentral's name for it is "partial 16S ribosomal RNA". It matches the Rfam family "Bacterial small subunit ribosomal RNA", at positions 523 to 918 of the family's 1533-position model. The record is from RNAcentral.